CAGGGGGCGACACCCCACUUUCAAAAACCCUAGAAUUCUACUAAAACUCUCAAAUUGGAGGUGCAAAUCUGGUCCAAACGAAAAUCCGAGCUUAGAAUCGUGAUCCUCAUCGCAAGAGGAUUACAAGGAAAGGAUACCGGAACGUCGAGUGGACAAGCCGGUGGUGAUUUGCGGUUGAAGGGCGUACACUAAGGUUAUGUUGGGGGAACUUACGGAUGGCGAUCAAGCAUAAGAUGAAGAACCGAACACUACAUUUUGAAGCUUCCGCAAUGUUAUUAAAUCUUUACUAGUCUUUGUGUAUGGAUUGUAAACAAUCGUUAAACAACUUUUGAAAUGUUUUAACCUAGUGUAGUGGACUAUGGUUAUGCUACAUGUGAACUUUUUGUACGAAAUUUAUGCUA
This is a long non-coding RNA of Helianthus annuus (common sunflower), 401 nucleotides long. RefSeq lists it as uncharacterized. The record is from RefSeq and is a predicted model, not a curated record. The transcript is spliced from 3 exons. Lineage: Eukaryota; Viridiplantae; Streptophyta; Magnoliopsida; Asterales; Asteraceae.